This is a long non-coding RNA of Bombus pyrosoma, 777 nucleotides long. RefSeq lists it as uncharacterized. NCBI's taxonomy places the organism in Eukaryota, Metazoa, Arthropoda, Insecta, Hymenoptera, Apidae. The transcript has 2 exons. The record is from RefSeq and is a predicted model, not a curated record.
AGGAAAAUUGCAACUUCGAUACGAUAUCUGCCUAAAGAGGAGAAACGACCGGAGAGGAUCGAACCGAAUUCUUUUUCCCACUCUACUGCCCUUUUUACAUAUCUUUACGCUUCGUUAUCCUCUCCAUCUACGCUCAACGUGAACAGCGGAGAAAAAAGAACGAGGUGUUCGAUAUUCGAUGUGGAGGAAAAAAAGUCGAACGUUUUCUCUUGCGACGAUGCAACGAAUAAUUUAACCGCAGCGAAGAUAUAAAGACAGCUAAGGACAGUAUAAAGAAUCGUACGGGUCACUGAAUCGUUUUAACCUGCCAAUCCCCGCUACGUCUAAUCUCAUUGCGUGUAGCGAAGCUCUUCUAUUAUUUAUAAGGAAAUCGGCGCACAGUUUGGACCUUCGUCUCUAAUACAAUACCGUAAAAUCGAAAACGUUUUAUCGUCGGUAGGUACGGUCGUACAAUUUGACCCAAAGCGUCGUUGCAAAUUAUUUCAACUAUUUAAUUAACUUCAAUUAUUUGAUUAGACCGUUCCCUUAAUCUUUCUUCGUGGUAUAAUAAAUGGGAUAAAUAAGUUACUUCUUCAUCAUAGAUAGAUUUUAUGCGAAAGAUGUUAGUCACAUCUUUUUUUUUUCUUUAAUAUCUGCUUAUGCGCAAUCUACUAGUCGAUGAUAAUGAGCAUUGAUUACGACAGUUUAAGUUGGCCUGAAUGCGAAAUACACCCACAACUUGUACAACGAUGGCAUUGACUCGCAUACUUAAAUGAUGUUGAAUUAUUAACAGUUAAA